GACGAACGCUGGCGGCGUGCUUAACACAUGCAAGUCGAGCGGUAAGGCUCCUUCGGGAGUACACGAGCGGCGAACGGGUGAGUAACACGUGAGCAAUCUGCCCUUCACUCUGGGAUAACCCUCGGAACCGAGAGCUAAUACCGGAUACGAUCACUUCAGGCAUCUGAUGGUGAUGGAAAGUUCCGGCGGUGAAGGAUGAGCUCGCGGCCUAUCAGCUUGUUGGUGAGGUAAUGGCUCACCAAGGCUUCGACGGGUAGUCGGCCUGAGAGGGUGACCGGCCACACUGGGACUGAGACACGGCCCAGACUCCUACGGGAGGCAGCAGUGGGGAAUAUUGGACAAUGGGCGAAAGCCUGAUCCAGCAACGCCGCGUGAGGGAUGACGGCCUUCGGGUUGUAAACCUCUUUCAGCACAGACGAAGCGCAAGUGACGGUAUGUGCAGAAGAAGGACCGGCCAACUACGUGCCAGCAGCCGCGGUAA
RNAcentral lists this ribosomal RNA (481 nucleotides) under uncultured bacterium. Its description in RNAcentral is "partial 16S ribosomal RNA". It matches the Rfam family "Bacterial small subunit ribosomal RNA", at positions 28 to 523 of the family's 1533-position model. The record is from RNAcentral.